GACAGCAAUAUUACCGCCUUGCAGCCUGAUCUCAUCAGAUCUCAGAAGUUAAGCAAUUAUGGGCCUGAACAGUACUUUCAUGACAGAGAACUAAGGAAAACCAGGUUGCUGCUGCAA
RNAcentral lists this ribosomal RNA (117 nucleotides) under Lepisosteus oculatus (spotted gar). The record is from RNAcentral. Lineage: Eukaryota; Metazoa; Chordata; Actinopteri; Semionotiformes; Lepisosteidae.